UGGAAGCAGAUGCAGAGAUUCAAGGCCAAGUUUUCUUUGUUUUUUAAUGUUUGAAUAUCUAUGUUCAGUCAUAUCAUUUUGUGUUACUUAAGACUGGGUAAUUUAAAAAAAAAGAAAGAAAGAAAGAAACAACAACAAGAACAAAACAAUUUGGCUACUUAUUGAACUUAUUAGAAGAAAUGACAGUUCAGGACACUGGUGGCCCACAGGUUAACAUUUUAGUCCUCAUUUGAGUGAGAAGAUCUUGCAAGAGAGAAAUUCAAUAAAGUUAAAGUCCUCCUAUUGAGGUUUCAGUCACUGACUAGAAUUGAAAGGAAAAGCAACAGCAAAAGUGCAUCUGAAGGUGUAUUUGUUUGUGGUAGGUAGCGGCUAAUACAAAGACUCAUAACUGAAUGAAAUGUCAAGUAUUAGUGACUGUGUGCUGAGAUUUGAAAGGGAUGCUUAUUUCAAACUUCCCUAUCUCAGGCAACUUUAAGGAAGAAUUGUUGCAAGACCAAGGAAGCUGAUGGAGGGAAGAGAGUUGUGAUACACCAACUGCCAAAUGUGACACCGCUGUUGUCCUCAUCGGCUCACUAUGAUCGGGGCUAUCCGCAGAAGAUGAAACCAGUCAGAAUUCCAGCGUAUGUGGAGCAGGGGAUCUGGAAGCCAUUGCAACUGCAAUAACAUCUGGCAAUUGGUCUCCAUUUGUAGGUAACUUGGGUAGGUUCCCCAGUGAACAGCUCCAUAUGCGUGAAUAUGUUGACAACAUUAAUUGCACUACAGCGAAUAUGAAUAAGUUUUAAAAAAUAAAGAGAGGAGGUGAAGUUGCCAGUGAGUCAGUGUGUGGGGCAGAAGGGAGCAGCAGAGGAAGAGAGUGGAGGAUGGGCAAGAUCAGAACAUGCUUUACAAAGGCAAGGGAGUA
Molecule: non-coding RNA, 901 nt
Organism: Myodes glareolus (Bank vole)
Lineage: Eukaryota; Metazoa; Chordata; Mammalia; Rodentia; Cricetidae
Source: RefSeq, a predicted model, not a curated record